UUGUCUCAAAGAUUAAGCCAUGCAUGUCUCAGUACAAGCCAAAUUAAGGUGAAACCGCGAAAGGCUCAUUAAAUCAGUUAUGGUUCCUUAGAUCGUACCCACAAUUACUUGGAUAACUGUGGUAAUUCUAGAGCUAAUACAUGCAAACAGAGCUCCGACCGGAGACGGAAGGAGUGCUUUUAUUAGAUCAAAACCAAUCGGUGGCGGGUUGGUGACUCUGAAUAACUUUACGCUGAUCGCACGGUCUUCGCACCGGCGACGCAUCUUUCAAAUGUCUGCCUUAUCAACUGUCGAUGGUAGGUUCUGCGCCUACCAUGGUUGUAACGGGUAACGGGGAAUCAGGGUUCGAUUCCGGAGAGGGAGCCUGAGAAACGGCUACCACAUCCAAGGAAGGCAGCAGGCGCGCAAAUUACCC
RNAcentral lists this ribosomal RNA (415 nucleotides) under Kyklioacalles roboris. Its description in RNAcentral is "SSU rRNA". It matches the Rfam family "Eukaryotic small subunit ribosomal RNA", at positions 32 to 446 of the family's 1831-position model. Lineage: Eukaryota; Metazoa; Arthropoda; Insecta; Coleoptera; Curculionidae. The record is from RNAcentral.